GCUCCCUUCGUCUAGUGGCCCAGGACAUCGCCCUCUCACGGCGGUAACGCGAGUUCGAGUCUCGCAGGGAGCGCCA
Molecule: transfer RNA, 76 nt
Filed under: Rhodanobacteraceae bacterium
Lineage: Bacteria; Pseudomonadati; Pseudomonadota; Gammaproteobacteria; Lysobacterales; Rhodanobacteraceae
Also listed under: 1 other name
Description: tRNA-Glu
Rfam family: tRNA
About the family: Transfer RNA (tRNA) molecules are approximately 80 nucleotides in length. Their secondary structure includes four short double-helical elements and three loops (D, anti-codon, and T loops).
Source: RNAcentral